GACGAACGCUGGCGGCGUGCCUAAUACAUGCAAGUCGAGCGGACGAAUCGAAAGCUUGCUUUUGAUUCGUUAGCGGCGGACGGGUGAGUAACACGUGGGCAACCUGCCCUGUAGACGGGGAUAACACCGAGAAAUCGGUGCCAAUACCGGAUAACACGAAAUGUCGCAUGACGUUUCGUUGAAAGACGGCGCAAGCUGUCGCUACAGGAUGGGCCCGCGGCGCAUUAGCUAGUUGGUGAGGUAACGGCUCACCAAGGCGACGAUGCGUAGCCGACCUGAGAGGGGGAUCGGCCACACUGGGACUGAGAAACGGCCCAGACUCCUACGGGAGGCAGCAGUAGGGAAUCUUCCGCAAUGGACGAAAGUCUGACGGAGCAACGCCGCGUGAGCGAAGAAGGCCUUCGGGUCGUAAAGCUCUGUUGUUAGGGAAGAACAAGUAACGCAGUAACUGGCGUUACCGUGACGGUACCUAACGAGAAAGCCACGGCUAACUACGUGCCAGCCGCCGCGGUAA
Molecule: ribosomal RNA, 514 nt
Filed under: uncultured bacterium
Lineage: Bacteria
Description: partial 16S ribosomal RNA
Rfam family: Bacterial small subunit ribosomal RNA
Source: RNAcentral